CAUGGCGGCGACUACUGCCAACCCCGAAAUGACAUCAGAUGUACCAUCACUGGGUCCAGCCAUUGCCUCUGGAAACCCUGGACCUGGAAUUCAAGGUGGAGGAGCCAUUGUCCAGAGGGCUAUUAAGCGGCGACCAGGCAGGCUUAAAGUAUUUAUUGUUGGCUUUCCUCAGGCUGGAUUUUGAUGAUGAUGGAGAAGGGAACAGUAAAUUUUUGAGGUGUGAUGAAGAUCAGAUAUCUAACGAUAAGGAGCGGUUUGCCAGGGAAAAUCACAGUGAAAUUGAACGGCGGCGACGGAACAAGAUGACAGCCUACAUCACAGAACUGUCAGAUAUGGUACCCACCUGUAGUGCCCUGGCUCGAAAACCAGACAAGCUAACCAUCUUACGCAUGGCAGUUUCUCACAUGAAGUCCUUGCGGGGAACUGGCAACACAUCCACUGAUGGCUCCUAUAAGCCAUCUUUCCUCACUGAUCAGGAACUGAAACAUUUGAUCUUGGAGGCAGCAGAUGGCUUUCUGUUUAUUGUCUCAUGUGAGACAGGCAGGG
This 546-nucleotide small RNA is filed under the name Pongo abelii (Sumatran orangutan). RNAcentral's name for it is "processed transcript". Lineage: Eukaryota; Metazoa; Chordata; Mammalia; Primates; Hominidae. The record is from RNAcentral.